GCUCCUUUGACUCAGUUGGUAGAGCGUCAGUCUCAUAAUCUGAAGGUCGCCAGUUCGAUCCUGGCAGGGAGCA
Molecule: transfer RNA, 73 nt
Filed under: Pythium insidiosum
Lineage: Eukaryota; Oomycota; Peronosporomycetes; Pythiales; Pythiaceae
Description: tRNA-Met
Rfam family: tRNA
About the family: Transfer RNA (tRNA) molecules are approximately 80 nucleotides in length. Their secondary structure includes four short double-helical elements and three loops (D, anti-codon, and T loops).
Source: RNAcentral